ACCUCGAUGUCGGCUCGUCACAUCCUGGGGCUGGAGAAGGUCCCAAGGGUUGGGCUGUUCGCCCAUUAAAGUGGCACGCGAGCUGGGUUCAGAACGUCGUGAGACAGUUCGGUCCCUAUCUGUCGUGGGCGUAGGAGAUUUGAGAGGACCUGACACCAGUACGAGAGGACCGUGUUGGACAGACCUCUAGUGUACCUGUUGUGGCGCCAGCUGCAUUGCAGGGUAGCUAUGUCUGGAAGGGAUAAGCGCUGAAAGCAUCUAAGCGCGAAGCCUGCCUCAAGAUGAGAUCUCCCUUAAGGGCCGUCAUAGACGAUGACGUUGAUAGGCUGCAGGUGUAAAGGCAGUAAUGUCAAAGCCGAGCAGUACUAAUUGCCCGUGUACUUUUUUCG
Molecule: ribosomal RNA, 389 nt
Filed under: Bacteroides sp.
Lineage: Bacteria; Pseudomonadati; Bacteroidota; Bacteroidia; Bacteroidales; Bacteroidaceae
Description: partial 23S ribosomal RNA
Rfam family: Bacterial large subunit ribosomal RNA
Source: RNAcentral